Non-coding RNA from Armillaria mellea, 92 nucleotides. NCBI's taxonomy places the organism in Eukaryota, Fungi, Basidiomycota, Agaricomycetes, Agaricales, Physalacriaceae. The record is from the annotation of a GenBank genome assembly.
UCCCUCUUAGCUCAGUUGGUAGAGCGCGUCACUAGUAUCACCUAGCAUUGCAUGUAAUGACGAGGUCAGUCGUUCAAGUCGGCUAGAGGGAA